RNAcentral lists this ribosomal RNA (359 nucleotides) under uncultured bacterium. RNAcentral describes it as "bacterial SSU rRNA". It matches the Rfam family "Bacterial small subunit ribosomal RNA", at positions 29 to 389 of the family's 1533-position model. The record is from RNAcentral.
AUUGAACGCUGGCGGCAUGCCUUACACAUGCAAGUCGAACGGUAACGCGGGGCAACCUGGCGACGAGUGGCGAACGGGUGAGUAAAGUAUCGGAACGUGCCCAAUAGUGGGGGAUAGCCCGGCGAAAGCCGGAUUAAUACCGCAUGAGACCUGAGGGUGAAAGCGGGGGACUCGCAAGAGCCUCGCGCUGUUGGAGCGGCCGAUAUCAGAUUAGGUAGUUGGUGGGGUAAAAGCCUACCAAGCCGACGAUCUGUAGCUGGUCUGAGAGGACGACCAGCCACACUGGGACUGAGACACGGCCCAGACUCCUACGGGAGGCAGCAGUGGGGAAUUUUGGACAAUGGGCGCAAGCCUGAUCC